UUUAAAAUCUGCCCGCUUUUUGAGCAAUAAUUAAAUGUUUUCUUUGACCGUUGGCAGUUAUGUAUUGCGUGUAUCUAUGUGUCUGUUUUGUGUGCUUAGUGUAGGGGAAGCAGUGGAAUGUGUGGAGUUAGACUCUUUGGGGGAGGUCAAGUGGGUGUUUCCUUUUGAGCCGUCUUGUUGUUGAGUUGUUGUUUAAAAGGCUGGUGGCAAGAUUAUUUGGGUGGUUGCCUAGUCUGGCGAAGUAUCGAUCACUCAGCUUGGCAAUAACCUCCUUUACCCAAGGUAUAUUAAGCUGGCUGUGAAUUACCUUAUCAUGGUUGCUCUUGCUGGCGGUACCCCAAAGAUGGAUGAACAAAAAAACAGCAAUUGCGAACUCGGCGAGGAUUGAUGUACUGGGAUGUUCCAUAAAAUUAUAUACGUUUGGUAGAUAUGUGAGCAAAAUGUAGCUUAAGAAACCUAUUAUAGAAGAGACAAACCCCUAAAAUACUAACAU
Long non-coding RNA from Drosophila montana, 493 nucleotides. RefSeq lists it as uncharacterized. The record is from RefSeq and is a predicted model, not a curated record. The transcript has 3 exons. NCBI's taxonomy places the organism in Eukaryota, Metazoa, Arthropoda, Insecta, Diptera, Drosophilidae.